CACCCCUCAAGCAUAGCUUGGUAUUGGACUUUCGCGGGUCCCCUUACAAGGGCUCGCGGGUUCGAAAAGCAGUGGCGGUCCCCGAGGAUUUCGCGCGUAGUAAACUUUAUCCCGCGUUGGAAAGAAUCGAUGAGUCUUGCCAAAACCCCCUAAUCUCCAUA
RNAcentral lists this unclassified non-coding RNA (161 nucleotides) under uncultured Cladonia. Its description in RNAcentral is "sequence contains ITS2". Lineage: Eukaryota; Fungi; Ascomycota; Lecanoromycetes; Lecanorales; Cladoniaceae. The record is from RNAcentral.